RNAcentral lists this long non-coding RNA (382 nucleotides) under Rattus norvegicus (Norway rat). Its description in RNAcentral is "long non-coding RNA NONRATT004443". The record is from RNAcentral. Lineage: Eukaryota; Metazoa; Chordata; Mammalia; Rodentia; Muridae.
GCCGACCCUGGGCGUCUGGGUGCUUGUCCUGCCCUAGCAGGACUCUGAUGGGGAACAGGAGGACUCGCCUGCAGCGCGUGCCCGGCAGCAGCUAGAGGCAUUGCUCAACAAGACCAUGCGUAUUCGUAUGACAGACGGAAGGACACUAGUCGGCUGCUUCCUGUGCACCGAUCGUGACUGUAAUGUCAUCCUGGGCUCUGCGCAAGAAUUCCUCAAGCCUUCUGAUUCAUUUUCUGCGGGGGAACCCCGUGUGCUGGGUCUCGCCAUGGUACCAGGACACCACAUCGUUUCUAUUGAAGUCCAAAGGGAGAGUCUGUCGGGGGGCCCGUAUCUCUGACCACGAUUGCACUUCUCUUUGAGACCAUUAAACCCUAUGACCAAA